RNAcentral lists this ribosomal RNA (669 nucleotides) under Escherichia coli. Its description in RNAcentral is "partial 23S ribosomal RNA". It matches the Rfam family "Bacterial large subunit ribosomal RNA", at positions 1252 to 1906 of the family's 2925-position model. The record is from RNAcentral. Lineage: Bacteria; Pseudomonadati; Pseudomonadota; Gammaproteobacteria; Enterobacterales; Enterobacteriaceae.
GAAGGUGUGCUGUGAGGCAUGCUGGAGGUAUCAGAAGUGCGAAUGCUGACAUAAGUAACGAUAAAGCGGGUGAAAAGCCCGCUCGCCGGAAGACCAAGGGUUCCUGUCCAACGUUAAUCGGGGCAGGGUGAGUCGACCCCUAAGGCGAGGCCGAAAGGCGUAGUCGAUGGGAAACAGGUUAAUAUUCCUGUACUUGGUGUUACUGCGAAGGGGGGACGGAGAAGGCUAUGUUGGCCGGGCGACGGUUGUCCCGGUUUAAGCGUGUAGGCUGGUUUUCCAGGCAAAUCCGGAAAAUCAAGGCUGAGGCGUGAUGACGAGGCACUACGGUGCUGAAGCAACAAAUGCCCUGCUUCCAGGAAAAGCCUCUAAGCAUCAGGUAACAUCAAAUCGUACCCCAAACCGACACAGGUGGUCAGGUAGAGAAUACCAAGGCGCUUGAGAGAACUCGGGUGAAGGAACUAGGCAAAAUGGUGCCGUAACUUCGGGAGAAGGCACGCUGAUAUGUAGGUGAAGCGACUUGCUCGUGGAGCUGAAAUCAGUCGAAGAUACCAGCUGGCUGCAACUGUUUAUUAAAAACACAGCACUGUGCAAACACGAAAGUGGACGUAUACGGUGUGACGCCUGCCCGGUGCCGGAAGGUUAAUUGAUGGGGUUAGCGCAAGCGAAGCU